Molecule: ribosomal RNA, 484 nt
Filed under: uncultured bacterium
Lineage: Bacteria
Description: partial 16S ribosomal RNA
Rfam family: Bacterial small subunit ribosomal RNA
Source: RNAcentral
AUUGAACGCUGGCGGCAGGCCUAACACAUGCAAGUCGAGCGGAUGAAGGGAGCUUGCUCCUGGAUUCAGCGGCGGACGGGUGAGUAAUGCCUAGGAAUCUGCCUGGUAGUGGGGGAUAACGUCCGGAAACGGGCGCUAAUACCGCAUACGUCCUGAGGGAGAAAGUGGGGGAUCUUCGGACCUCACGCUAUCAGAUGAGCCUAGGUCGGAUUAGCUAGUUGGUGGGGUAAAGGCCUACCAAGGCGACGAUCCGUAACUGGUCUGAGAGGAUGAUCAGUCACACUGGAACUGAGACACGGUCCAGACUCCUACGGGAGGCAGCAGUGGGGAAUAUUGGACAAAGGGCGAAAGCCUGAUCCAGCCAUGCCGCGUGUGUGAAGAAGGUCUUCGGAUUGUAAAGCACUUUAAGUUGGGAGGAAGGGCAGUAAGUUAAUACCUGGCUGUUUUGACGUUACCAACAGAAUAAGCACCGGCUAACUUCGUG